GUAGUCCACGCUGUAAACGUUGGGCACUAGGUGUGGCGACCCGACCAACGGUUGCCGUGCCGAAGCUAACGCAUUAAGUGCCCCGCCUGGGGAGUACGGCCGCAAGGCUAAAACUCAAAGGAAUUGACGGGUCCCCGCACAAGCGGCGGAGCAUGCGGCUUAAUUCGAUGCAACCCGAAGAACCUUACCUGGGUUUGACAUUAUGGGAAAAGCCGUAGAGAUACGGUGUCCGAAAGGGCCCAUAACAGGUGGUGCAUGGCUGUCGUCAGCUCGUGUCGUGAGAUGUUGGGUUAAGUCCCGCAACGAGCGCAACCCUUGUCCUAUGUUACCAGCGAGUUAAGUCGGGGACUCAUAGGAGACUGCCGGGGACAACUCGGAGGAAGGUGGGGAUGACGUCAAGUCCUCAUGCCCCUUAUGCCCAGGGCUGCACGCAUGCUACAAUGGUCGGUACAACGGGCUGCGAUCCCGCGAGGGUGAGCGAAUCCCUAAAAGCCGGCCUCAGUUCAGAUUGGAGUCUGCAACUCGACUCCAUGAAGUCGGAGUCGCUAGUAAUCGCGGAUCAGCAAAGCCGCGGUGAAUG
Molecule: ribosomal RNA, 580 nt
Filed under: uncultured Actinomycetes bacterium
Lineage: Bacteria; Bacillati; Actinomycetota; Actinomycetes
Description: bacterial SSU rRNA
Rfam family: Bacterial small subunit ribosomal RNA
Source: RNAcentral